This 253-nucleotide ribosomal RNA is filed under the name uncultured bacterium. RNAcentral's name for it is "partial 16S ribosomal RNA". It matches the Rfam family "Bacterial small subunit ribosomal RNA", at positions 524 to 776 of the family's 1533-position model. The record is from RNAcentral.
UACGUAGGGUGCAAGCGUUAAUCGGAAUUACUGGGCGUAAAGGGAGCGUAGGCGGGUUAUCAAGUUGGAGGUGAAAGCCCAGGGCUCAACCUUGGAAUUGCCUUCAAAACUGAUAGCCUAGAGUAUGAUAGAGGUAUGUGGAACUCCGAGUGUAGAGGUGAAAUUCGUAGAUAUUCGGAAGAACACCAGUGGCGAAGGCGACAUACUGGGUCAUGACUGACGCUGAGGCUCGAAAGCGUGGGGAGCAAACAGG